AGGACGAACGCUGGCGGCGUGCUUAACACAUGCAAGUCGAGCGGUGAUCCUCCUUCGGGAGGUGAUCAGCGGCGAACGGGUGAGUAACACGUGGGCAACCUGCCCCUCACACUGGGAUAACCUCGGGAAACCGGGGCUAAUACCGGAUACGACCUCGAGCGGCAUCUCUUGAGGUGGAAAGCUCCGACGGUGAGGGAUGGGCCCGCGGCCUAUCAGCUUGUUGGUGGGGUAAUGGCCUACCAAGGCGACGACGGGUAGCUGGUCUGAGAGGACGAUCAGCCACACUGGGACUGAGACACGGCCCAGACUCCUACGGGAGGCAGCAGUGGGGAAUCUUGCGCAAUGGGCGAAAGCCUGACGCAGCAACGCCGCGUGGAGGACGAAGGCUUUCUGAGUUGUAAACUCCUUUCAGCAGGGACGAUUGUGACGGUACCUGCAGAAGAAGCACCGGCCAACUACGUGCCAGCAGCCC
This 472-nucleotide ribosomal RNA is filed under the name uncultured bacterium. Its description in RNAcentral is "SSU rRNA". It matches the Rfam family "Bacterial small subunit ribosomal RNA", at positions 26 to 517 of the family's 1533-position model. The record is from RNAcentral.